This 460-nucleotide ribosomal RNA is filed under the name uncultured bacterium. Its description in RNAcentral is "partial 16S ribosomal RNA". It matches the Rfam family "Bacterial small subunit ribosomal RNA", at positions 338 to 795 of the family's 1533-position model. The record is from RNAcentral.
CCUACGGGCGGCAGCAGUGAGGAAUAUUGGUCAAUGGACGAGAGUCUGAACCAGCCAAGUAGCGUGAAGGAUGACUGCCCUAUGGGUUGUAAACUUCUUUUAUAUGGGAAUAAAAUGUUCCACGUGUGGGAUUUUGUAUGUACCAUAUGAAUAAGGAUCGGCUAACUCCGUGCCAGCAGCCGCGGUAAUACGGAGGAUCCGAGCGUUAUCCGGAUUUAUUGGGUUUAAAGGGAGCGUAGGUGGAUUGUUAAGUCAGUUGUGAAAGUUUGCGGCUCAACCGUAAAAUUGCAGUUGAAACUGGCAGUCUUGAGUACAGUAGAGGUAGGCGGAAUGCGUGGUGUAGCGGUGAAAUGCUUAGAUAUCACGAAGAACUCCGAUUGCGAAGGCAGUUCACUGGACUGCAACUGACACUGAGGCUCGAAAGUGUGGGUAUCAAACAGGAUUAGAUACCCGUGUAGUC